Molecule: ribosomal RNA, 497 nt
Filed under: uncultured bacterium
Lineage: Bacteria
Description: partial 16S ribosomal RNA
Rfam family: Bacterial small subunit ribosomal RNA
Source: RNAcentral
GAUGAACGCUGGCGGCGUGCCUAAUACAUGCAAGUCGAGCGAACAGACGAGGUGCUUGCUCCUCUGAAGUUAGCGACGGACGGGUGAGUAACACGUGGGUAACCAACCUAUGAGACUGGGACAACUUAGGGAGACCUGAGACAAUACCGGAUAAUAUAGUGAACCACAUGGAUCAUUAGCGAAAGGCGGCUUUGCUGUAACUUACACAUCUAUCCCCGGCGCAUUAGCUAGUUGGUAAGGUAACGGCUUACCAAGGCAACGAUGCGUAGCCGACCUGAGAGGGUGAUCGGCCACACUGGGACUGAGACACGGUCCAGACUCCUACGGGAGGCAGCAGUAGGGAAUCUUCCGCAAUGGGCGAAAGCCUGAUGGAGCAACGCCGCGUGAGUGAUGAAGGUCUUCGGAUCGUAAAACUCUGUUGUUAGGGAAGAACAAGUGUGUGAGUAACUGUGCACGUCUUGACGGUACCUAAUCAGAAAGCCACGGCUAACUACGUG